Molecule: long non-coding RNA, 1719 nt
Filed under: Fragaria vesca (wild strawberry)
Lineage: Eukaryota; Viridiplantae; Streptophyta; Magnoliopsida; Rosales; Rosaceae
Description: long non-coding RNA (FVES_LNC002674)
Source: RNAcentral
UAAAGUAUGUGUUCGUGUGCAGAACAACAAAAUCUGAUACUCUGGAAACAUUACUACCCCUAGUAAAAUAUGUUGUAGGGUGCAGAUAAAAAAAAACUGAGGUUCUGGAAACUUUACUACCCCUAGUAAAGUAUGUCUUAGGCUGCAGAACAACAAAAUCUGAUACUUUCGAAACAUUACUAUCCCCAGUAAAAUAUGUGUUAGGUUGCAGAACAAGUAAAUCUGAGGACUUGGAAACAUUACUGCCCCCAGUACAGUUUGUUACUGAGUGCAGAACAACAAAAACUGAGGUUUUGGAGACAUUACUACCCCUAGUAAACUAUGUGUUCGUGUGCAGAACAACAAAAUCUGAUACUCUCGAAACAUUACUACCCCUAGUAAAGUAUGUGUUCGUGUGCAGAACAACAAAAUCUGAUAGUCUCGAAACUUUUCUAUUCCUAGUAAAAUAUGUGUUAGGCUGCAGAACAAGUAAAUCUGAGGACUUGGAAACAUUACUGCCCCCAAUACAUUUUAUUACUGAGUGCAGAACAAAAAAAAUAGAGGUUCUGGAAACAUUACUAUCCCUAGUAAAGUAUGUGUUGGUGUGCAGAACAACAAAAACUGAGGUUCUGGAAACUUUACUACCCCUAGUAAAGUAUGUGUUAGGCUGCAGAACAAGUAAAUCUGACGACUUGGAAACAUUACUACUCCCAGUAAAGUUUAUUACUUGGGAGGGAAGAACAGAAAACCCUUAGAACUUUAAUGCUUGGGACAGAUGAACAUAAUAAUAUUGUCAAGAGAAUUCCACAAUAAUGAACAUCACAAAAAUCUUCAAUCAAAAUCCUUACAAUAGAGAGAAAUCUGAAUGUAGUUCAAAAAACAUCCAAAAAACAACAAAUUCCAAACAUCCACUAACAACCAGAAGGAUGUACAAGAAACUACAGCAACAUGUUCAAAGGUUCCGUACAGCUCUUCUUGUUAUGAUGGCCCAUCUUAUUACAACGACCGCAUCGAAUCAGCUUCUUCUCACCAGCAGAUGCUAUCCUCUUUGAUUUAGGCCUCCCAGCCGCCCUCUUUGUAACAGGAGGUAGUGUAAAGUCCUCAGUGGAAGAACAAGAGGCAUCCACGUUACUCAGAGGUGCAAUAGGAAAGCUAUAACACAUCCUAUAGUAUUCAGCAGUAAAAUAAGGAUCAAUGAAAUCAUACACAUCAAGUCUUGCACCUUGUAUAGCAGCAAGUGCAUGAGCGCAUGGGAAGCAAUUAAUCUGCCACUUCACACAUGAACAAGUACGAGUAGAGAGGUCCACUGAAUAGGAGUACUUAUCAUUCCUAACCUCAUAAACAUUUUCAUGGGAAGCAAUCACCCUGAACACACGAGCCCUAUCAAGCUGCUCUUUCAGCCUCUUCUCCAUUUUAGGAGUAAGCUUGGUAGUCCAAGAUUUCGACUCAACACUCCUUUCUGACAUCAUCUUCAUUUCUUUCAUUCUAGUUUGAUCUAACAUAGCGAAAGGGGGCAGUGAACGCUCAGCAACAAUCUAGUUACUAAAGGAUUCAGCAAUACCAUUUGCCAUAAUCCCAUACCGACAACCUUUUUAAAAAGCACGGUACCAAUGUUCCAAUGGAAUCUCCCUUAUGAAUUCAUCAAUAGUAGCAGCACCACCCUCAUCUCUCAAAUUUUUUAAAUGAAAGUAGAAAGACUUCUCAGUCGAUGCAUAAGCCACUUUAAAGAAUUUUUGUAAC